GAUGAACGCUGGCGGCGUGCCUAACACAUGCAAGUCGAGCGAACGGACGAGAAGCUUGCUUCUCUGAUGUUAGCGGCGGACGGGUGAGUAACACGUGGAUAACAUACUUCUAAGACUGGGAUAAUUUCGGGAAACCGGAGCUACUACCGGAUGAUAUUUUGAACCGCUUGGUUCAAAAGUGUAAGACGGUUUUGCUGUCACUUAUAGAUGGAUCCGCGCUGCAUUAGCUAGUUGGUAAGGUAACGGCUUACCAAGGCAACGAUGCAUAGCCGACCUGAGAGGGUGAUCGGCCACACUGGAACUGAUACACGGUCCAGACUCCUACGGGAGGCAGCAGUAGGGAAUCUUCCGCAAUGGGCGAAAGCCUGAUGGAGCAACGCCGCGUGAGUGAUGAAGGUCUUCGGAUCGUAAAGCUCUGUUAUUAGGAAAGAACAUAUGUGUAAGUAACUGUGCACAUCUUGACGGUACCUAAUCAGAAAGCCACGGCUAACUACGUG
This 497-nucleotide ribosomal RNA is filed under the name uncultured bacterium. RNAcentral's name for it is "partial 16S ribosomal RNA". It matches the Rfam family "Bacterial small subunit ribosomal RNA", at positions 28 to 507 of the family's 1533-position model. The record is from RNAcentral.